CCCUUAGAUGUUCUGGGCCGCACGCGCGCUACACUGACGAAUGCAACGAGCUUAUAACCUUGGCCGAAAGGUCUGGGUAAUCUCCAAAUUUCGUCGUGAUGGGGAUAGAUUAUUGCAAUUAUUAAUCUUCAACGAGGAAUGCCUAGUAAGCGCAAGUCAUCAGCUUGCGUUGAUUACGUCCCUGCCCUUUGUACACACCGCCCGUCGCUCCUACCGAUUGAAUGGUCCGGUGAAGCGUUCGGACCGUGGCCUUUGGACGGUUCGCCGUCUGUUGGCUGCGGGAAGUUCGUUAAACCUUAUCAUUUAGAGGAAGGAGAANUCGUAACA
This 327-nucleotide ribosomal RNA is filed under the name uncultured eukaryote. Its description in RNAcentral is "partial 18S ribosomal RNA". It matches the Rfam family "Eukaryotic small subunit ribosomal RNA", at positions 1470 to 1796 of the family's 1831-position model. The record is from RNAcentral.